RNAcentral lists this ribosomal RNA (245 nucleotides) under uncultured Tissierella sp. Its description in RNAcentral is "partial 16S ribosomal RNA". It matches the Rfam family "Bacterial small subunit ribosomal RNA", at positions 796 to 1041 of the family's 1533-position model. Lineage: Bacteria; Bacillati; Bacillota; Tissierellia; Tissierellales; Tissierellaceae. The record is from RNAcentral.
CACGCCGUAAACGAUGAGUGCUAGGUGUCGGGUGUCAAAGCUCGGUGCCGCAGCUAACGCAUUAAGCACUCCGCCUGGGGAGUACGUACGCAAGUAUGAAACUCAAAGGAAUUGACGGGGACCCGCACAAGCAGCGGAGCAUGUGGUUUAAUUCGAAGCAACGCGAAGAACCUUACCAGGGCUUGACAUGCCCUUGACCGUCCUAGAGAUAGGAUUUUCCCUUCGGGGACAAGGGACACAGGUGG